Molecule: ribosomal RNA, 253 nt
Filed under: uncultured bacterium
Lineage: Bacteria
Description: partial 16S ribosomal RNA
Rfam family: Bacterial small subunit ribosomal RNA
Source: RNAcentral
UACGGAGGGUGCAAGCGUUAUCCGGAUUUACUGGGUUUAAAGGGUGCGUAGGCGGACAGGUAAGUCAGUGGUGAAAUCCCCGAGCUCAACUUGGGAACUGCCGUUGAUACUAUUUGUCUUGAAUACCGUGGAGGUGAGCGGAAUAUGUCAUGUAGCGGUGAAAUGCUUAGAUAUGACAUAGAACACCGAUGGCGAAGGCAGCCUCCUGGGCCAGCACUGACGCUCAUGCACGAAAGCGUGGGGAGCAAACAGG